UACGUAGGGGGCAAGCGUUGUCCGGAAUCAUUGGGCGUAAAGCGCGUGUAGGCGGCUCGAUAAGUCUGCUGUGAAAGUUCAGGGCUCAACCCUGAAAUGCCGGUGGAAACUGUCGGGCUAGAGUCCGGAAGAGGCGAGUGGAAUUCCUGGUGUAGCGGUGAAAUGCGCAGAUAUCAGGAGGAACACCAUGGCGAAGGCAGCUCGCUGGGACGGUACUGACGCUGAGACGCGAAAGCGUGGGGGAGCAAAACAGG
This 254-nucleotide ribosomal RNA is filed under the name uncultured bacterium. Its description in RNAcentral is "partial 16S ribosomal RNA". It matches the Rfam family "Bacterial small subunit ribosomal RNA", at positions 524 to 776 of the family's 1533-position model. The record is from RNAcentral.